UCCCUGGUGGUCCAGUGGCUACACCUCUGAGUUCUCAAUGCAGAGGACCCAGGUUUGAUCCCUGGUCAGGGAA
This 73-nucleotide transfer RNA is filed under the name Ovis aries (sheep). It matches the Rfam family "tRNA". From Rfam's summary of the family: Transfer RNA (tRNA) molecules are approximately 80 nucleotides in length. Lineage: Eukaryota; Metazoa; Chordata; Mammalia; Artiodactyla; Bovidae. The record is from Rfam by way of RNAcentral.